UACAGAGGUCCCGAGCGUUGUUCGGAUUUACUGGGCGUAAAGGGUGCGUAGGUGGUGGGGUAAGUUUGAUGUGAAAUCUCCAGGCUCAACCUGGAAAUGGCAUCGAAUACUAUCCCGCUUGAGGGUUGGAGGGGGGACUGGAAUUCUCGGUGUAGCAGUGAAAUGCGUAGAUAUCGAGAGGAACACCAGUGGCGAAGGCGAGUCCCUGGACAACUCCUGACACUGAGGCACGAAAGCUAGGGGAG
This 245-nucleotide ribosomal RNA is filed under the name uncultured bacterium. RNAcentral's name for it is "partial 16S ribosomal RNA". It matches the Rfam family "Bacterial small subunit ribosomal RNA", at positions 524 to 768 of the family's 1533-position model. The record is from RNAcentral.